This 440-nucleotide ribosomal RNA is filed under the name Heteractis aurora. Its description in RNAcentral is "partial large subunit ribosomal RNA". It matches the Rfam family "Bacterial large subunit ribosomal RNA", at positions 1963 to 2452 of the family's 2925-position model. Lineage: Eukaryota; Metazoa; Cnidaria; Anthozoa; Actiniaria; Stichodactylidae. The record is from RNAcentral.
AAUCAAUAGCCAAUUAAUUGUUGGCCGGUAUGAAUGGCGUCACGAAGGCCCCACUGUCUUAAGAGGACUCUCCAUGAAAUUGAAUUCGUAGUGAAGAUGCUACGUCCAUAUUGUAAGACGAAAAGACCCCAUAGAGCUUUACUAAAGACUUGCAUGGCUCAAAAUAAUUUGACUUAAAUAAAGAGUUUAGAUAAUGUGGGACCCGUUUCUGGUUAAUGAAACACCACUCUUUUAUUUUAAGAGAGCUAACAUUACAGGGAUAGUGUAAGUUGGAUAGUUUGGUUGGGGCGACCACCUUUUAAAAGGUAACGAAGGUGAGCUUAAGGUCCGUAGUUAAUAGCCGGUGGCCUGACUGCAAGGGGGACGUCUCGAGCAGACACGUCCUUAGGGAUGUGGACUAUAGUGACCCGUCAUCUUAGUGUGGAAUAGUUGACGAUCAA